UACGUAGGCAGCAAGCGUUGUUCGGAGUUACUGGGCGUAAAGAGUGUGUAGGCGGUUCUCUAAGUUCGGUGUGAAAUCUCCCGGCUCAACUGGGAGGGUGCGCCGGAAACUGGAGGGCUUGAGUAUGGGAGAGGAAAGCGGAAUUCCUGGUGUAGCGGUGAAAUGCGCAGAUAUCAGGAAGAACACCCGUGGCGAAGGCGGUUCUCUGGGACGGUACUGACGCUGAGACGCGAAAGCGUGGGGAGCGAACAGG
RNAcentral lists this ribosomal RNA (253 nucleotides) under uncultured bacterium. RNAcentral describes it as "partial 16S ribosomal RNA". It matches the Rfam family "Bacterial small subunit ribosomal RNA", at positions 524 to 776 of the family's 1533-position model. The record is from RNAcentral.